UCAGAGAGGUGCCCAGCAUGCAGGACGGCUCUAGGCCCAGCUGGCUACAAUGAUGUCACCCCAGGGUAACCCCCAGACAGGAGCCACAGGUGGGGCUGCCCAGACCCGC
Molecule: long non-coding RNA, 109 nt
Organism: Ochotona curzoniae (black-lipped pika)
Lineage: Eukaryota; Metazoa; Chordata; Mammalia; Lagomorpha; Ochotonidae
Exons: 3
Source: RefSeq, a predicted model, not a curated record